This 66-nucleotide transfer RNA is filed under the name Parazyginella tiani. Its description in RNAcentral is "tRNA-Asn". Lineage: Eukaryota; Metazoa; Arthropoda; Insecta; Hemiptera; Cicadellidae. The record is from RNAcentral.
UUAAUUGAAACCAAACAGAGGUAUUUUAUUGUUAAUAAAAUAAUUGAAAUUAAUUUUCCAAUUAAA